Molecule: ribosomal RNA, 484 nt
Filed under: uncultured bacterium
Lineage: Bacteria
Description: partial 16S ribosomal RNA
Rfam family: Bacterial small subunit ribosomal RNA
Source: RNAcentral
AUUGAACGCUGGCGGCAGGCCUAACACAUGCAAGUCGAGCGGAUGAAGGGAGCUUGCUCCUGGAUUCAGCGGCGGACGGGUGAGUAAUGCCUAGGAAUCUGCCUGGUAGUGGGGGAUAACGUCCGGAAACGGGCGCUAAUACCGCAUACGUCCUGAGGGAGAAAGUGGGGGAUCUCCGGACCUCACGCUAUCAGAUGAGCCUAGGUCGGAUUAGCUAGUUGGUGGGGUAAAGGCCUACCAAGGCGACGAUCCGUAACUGGUCUGAGAGGAUGAUCAGUCACACUGGAACUGAGACACGGUCCAGACUCCUACGGGAGGCAGCAGUGGGGAAUAUUGGACAAUGGGCGAAAGCCUGAUCCAGCCAUGCCGCGUGUGUGAAGAAGGUCUUCGGAUUGUAAAGCACUUUAAGUUGGGAGGAAGGGCAGUAAGUUAAUACCUUGCCGUUUUGACGUUACCAACAGAAUAAGCACCGGCUAACUUCGUG